UACGGGGGGGGCAAGCGUUGUUCGGAAUUACUGGGCGUAAAGGGCGCGUAGGCGGCGUGGUAAGUCACUUGUGAAAUCUCCGAGCUUAACUCGGAACUGCCAAGUGAUACUGCUGUGCUAGAGUGCAGAAGGGGCAACCGGAAUUCUUGGUGUAGCGGUGAAAUGCGUAGAUAUCAAGAGGAACACCUGAGGUGAAGACGGGUUGCUGGGCUGACACUGACGCUGAGGCGCGAAAGCUAGGGUAGCAAACGGG
RNAcentral lists this ribosomal RNA (253 nucleotides) under uncultured bacterium. Its description in RNAcentral is "partial 16S ribosomal RNA". It matches the Rfam family "Bacterial small subunit ribosomal RNA", at positions 524 to 776 of the family's 1533-position model. The record is from RNAcentral.